UAGCGGAGAGAUCCGUAGUGAACCUGCGAAUACGCCUAUCCCUGGCGUAUACACACGUCAACAAAAGAUCUAAAAGAAUAAAACUUUCAACAACGGAUCUCUUGGUUCUCGCAUCGAUGAAGAGCGCAGCGAAAUGCGAUACCUAGUGUGAAUUGCAGCCAUCGUGAAUCAUCGAGUUCUUGAACGCACAUUGCGCCCGUCGGUAUUCCGGCGGGCAUGCCUGUCUGAGCGUCGUUUCCUUCUUGUGCACCGGGGGUCUUUGCUGAUCUUCUGUGCGCAGAGCUGGCCGGGCCACUGGCCCGGCCAAAAAGAAACGUUGCGAACGAAGCGAACUACUUCGGGACGCUUUGGCCGCCGAGCGAAAAAACACCAUUGAGCUCGACCUCAGAUCAGGUAGGAGUACCCGCUGAACUUAAGCAUAUUUUAUAUUGCGGAGGAAGUUUUUAAGG
RNAcentral lists this ribosomal RNA (449 nucleotides) under Pichia membranifaciens. RNAcentral's name for it is "eukaryotic LSU rRNA". The stretch from base 82 to 234 matches the Rfam family "5.8S ribosomal RNA". Lineage: Eukaryota; Fungi; Ascomycota; Pichiomycetes; Pichiales; Pichiaceae. The record is from RNAcentral.